Long non-coding RNA from Oreochromis niloticus (Nile tilapia), 251 nucleotides. RefSeq lists it as uncharacterized. The record is from RefSeq and is a predicted model, not a curated record. Lineage: Eukaryota; Metazoa; Chordata; Actinopteri; Cichliformes; Cichlidae. The transcript is spliced from 3 exons.
GUCCCCUUGUCUCGUUAAUCAGAUUCAGCUGUGUUCCCUGGUGUUUCCCAUCUGCCUGGUCCAGCCUGACUGAUUGACCAGGAGAUUACAGCCUUCAUCCUCUAAGCACGGAGUCAUCUCACACCACUGUCGACUCGUGAUGAUACGAACUGAGGAGGACGACAAGAGGAAGAAGAGUCAGCAGCAGCCGUCUGAGGACAGUGAGGAUCUUACCAUCCACACAGGCUGGUCUGGCUCUCGUCGUACCAGCG